AUGCCAGCCACAAGAAUGUUUAUCUUCUAUCUAUUCAUGCCAGGAGAAACACGAAUAAUGCAGCAUAAAGAAGUAAAAAUGUUUUCCCUUGUAACUUUUUUAAGCCUUUAUUUUAUACAACACUACUUAAAAGGUACCCAGUUUCUUGAUGAAAUUUGUAUUUCAGAUUUUUUUUUAAAGAUUUAUUUCAUUUAUUUGAAAGAGAGGUUUUGCAUCCACUGGUUCACUCCCCAGAUGGCCACAACGGCCAGAACUGCGCCAAUCCUAAGCCAAAAGCUUCUUUCAGGUCCCCCACAUAGGUGCAGGGGUCCAAGGACUUGGGCCAUCUUCUACCACUUUCCUAAGGCAUAGCAGAGAGCUGGAUUGGAAGAGGAGGUGCUGGGACUAGAACUGGCAUCCAUGUGGGAUGCCGGCGCUUCAGGCCAGGGCUUUAACCCUCUGCGCCACAGCACUGGCCCCAUCAUAGAUAUUACUUGUUAGUCACAUCAAAAUCAUCCUCACAUGGGCUUUUUGAAGUUGUCAGCACACAAGCUCAGUCUCCAUCAACUACCAGCUGCUAGCUCAAGGAAGUCAAGGACAAGGGAUGGGAACUGCCCAAUCUUAAACAACAUUUAUUACCAUAAUAUUUCGGUACAACACCAAAAGUGAUAAUUUUCCAUGGAGGAACCUGUAUGAUACCUGACCUGUGAUCUGAUUACUUAGAUACAAAUUAUUAAAUUUCCUAAUUACAUCAAAUCCCUUGCUGCUGUCACUGCUUCUGUUCCUCCUUUCUUCUCUCCUCUGUGGUAAUUUUAUUGACAUCAUUUGCAUUUCCUGCAGCAGGUGAGGAGGAAAAAACACAAGUGAUGAAACCCAAGCAAAUAUAUUCUCCAAAACAUAAAGCAGACAUUUCUACUGCAGAGAAUAUUAAAACUACUGCUAAUACAAGAUUUGUGAUUGGAUUGAUAAUUCCAACAUUCUAAGCAAUCCUUCCCUUAUAAACCUGAGUGAAAAGGAUUAACUAUAAAUGUAUCACAUUUUUAAAUGAAAAGAAUUUUAAAGUGUAAGUUUGUCACAUAAAAGGCAGUUUAAGCAGGUAUGUUGUAAAGCUAUUGUCGUAAAAACUAUUCCAUGUCACAAAGAUUUUUAUUCCCUUAAAAAUGCACAUCAUGUAAUAAAUAUGAUGAUCUCAUUUGAAUCUAUAUAAAU
This 1188-nucleotide long non-coding RNA is filed under the name Oryctolagus cuniculus (rabbit). Its description in RNAcentral is "lncRNA (ENSOCUG00000037214.1)". The record is from RNAcentral. Lineage: Eukaryota; Metazoa; Chordata; Mammalia; Lagomorpha; Leporidae.